GCCCAUUAAAAUUUGAACAUGCUUUAUUUUUAUGGAAAAAGCAAAGAAAAAUUUAAAAAUUCAUCUGGGAGAGUAAAUAUAUGUUUAUAUCUACUUCUGUAUCUUAUAUACAUACAUACAUAGAUAAAAUUAGCCAAGAAACUUCUGAAUUAUGAAAUCAAUAGGAGUAAUGAUCAUUACUUGUACACUAGUGCAUAUCAUAAAACUGUAUUAUUGCAAUAAUAACAAAUUAUCACAAAACAAAAUCCACAGAAGAAUCCAUAUGGAUGUAAGACUUGUUUGUUUUGGUAAGAGUAGCAGAGAGGCUUACACAAACCCAACCAUAUCAGGAAUGAUAUCAAAUGUAAACUGACCAAACGACAGGUGGUGGGGCUGGGCACAUAGCUCAAUCUCAGAGUGGACACCCAACAUGUAUGAGGUGGUAGGUUCAAUCUCCCACAGCAAAAAUUGCAGAUGUUUAUAGGAGAUGGGGGGGGGGGGGGCAGAGUCACUGUGUCCUUGAAAAAACAUCUACUCUUGUUUCAGGUUCCUCUGAAAGGCAGGCAUAAGUGAAAUGACAGACUUCAAUGUACUGGGUGCUAUGGUUUAUGUCUCAAUGUCACCCAAAGCCUCAUACACUCAUAGGGGUAGAUCAUGGGGAUGUGAUACUCAGCAGUGGACUAGUCCAUUAAUGAGUUUAUAGCUAAAUGUGAUGUUGGGAGGUGGAGCCAAGUUGGAGAAGGUAGUCGCGAGGGUCAUGGCUGGAAGGGUCUAUCUCUCUCUCCUCCCUUGAUCUCUCUCUGCUUCCUGCUGUGGUAUCAUGAGCUGUUUCUCCUCAGCCAUGUUGCCCUGCCUUGGAGCCAGCUGACUAUGGUCUGAAGCCUCUACAAACUGUGAGCUAAAAUAAACCUCUCCUUCUUUAAGUUGUGGGUGUCAGGUAUUCUGUCUCAGCAACACAAAAGUAAAUGAGACACUGGGCAACUAAGAAAACUAGCACACCAAAGCAGGAGGAAAGCCAAGGCACACUUGGGCAUGAAUCCUGCCUCAGACAAAGCACUAUAUAGAAAUUGGGAAAGAAUCUCCAACACUAAGCAUCAACCUGACCAUAUAUAAUAGCACCCUAACUCUAAAGUGCCCUUAUAGUCUGGAUUGUAAUCAACCCACCCUGGGAGAGAAGGGGAGUAGUUUCUUUAAAACACACACAAAAACACCACAAGUUUCUUUAGAACAUAAAAAAAAGUGAUGGUUUUCUAUGGUCAUGCAAGUACUUUCACAUACUUCACUCCUAGGGAUCAAGGAAAAGACAUGGCAGCUGUGGAUGCUGGUGUCAAGCAGCUGACCCCAGGACCAUGGAAAAAUGGACGGCUGAGAGUACAUCACUCUGUAAAGCCUUGGGAGAAUUCAACCCAAACACAUUUUCGUCAAGUGUCUGAACCUAGCAAAGACAAAAAGAGGAAAUGCAUAACAAUUUCUUUUACAUUUUUU
Molecule: long non-coding RNA, 1464 nt
Filed under: Heterocephalus glaber (naked mole-rat)
Lineage: Eukaryota; Metazoa; Chordata; Mammalia; Rodentia; Bathyergidae
Description: lncRNA (ENSHGLG00100049596.1)
Source: RNAcentral